RNAcentral lists this long non-coding RNA (702 nucleotides) under Capsella grandiflora. RNAcentral describes it as "long non-coding RNA (CGRA_LNC001302)". The record is from RNAcentral. Lineage: Eukaryota; Viridiplantae; Streptophyta; Magnoliopsida; Brassicales; Brassicaceae.
AAGAUACAAUGAUUGUCCUAAAAGGCACUGCCAUUUAGAAAUUGAAUUAGGAAAUAUGGUAAACAACUACGUUUCCUCUGUUCAGAAAGCGUUUCUUGUGCUUCUUCCUUCUCAUUGUCUUCUUGGAUUUUUGAUGACAAAUCUUGAUGCAAAGUAUUUUCGUUCAUUGACAUUUAGGAGCUCUUUUUUUUCUUUCUAAUUUUGUUGUUGUUGUCGCAGUGGCUAGGCAAGCAUGCAUCAAGAGUUUUCCUCCAACCUAUCCUCUUUCGACAGAGAUUGUUAUUCCGGUCUGGUUGUUCUGGCUACCGUUCAAAAAAUCUUUAAAAAAGGCAUGAUGUAUGCACAAGGUUUUAUAGCCUCAAUCCCUAAUCUCUUUUCUCAAUAAAAUAUUAUAACAAGAUGAACAUGAUGUUGUAGGAAAUUAUUAAACCCUAAACCCUCCGGUAAAAAAUCUCAAACAAAUACUAAAAACAUGUGGUGUACUGUGUGUUUUACAAUCAAAUGAAGAGGUUAAAGUAACUCAUAGACCAUGUUUUUUUUUGUGUAAAGCAAAGGGAGAACUUGUCUCCCACAUUUAUCAAGAAAAAAAAAAUUAAAAACUACAAUCGAACAUCAUCACUCAGGAAUGAAUCCAAUAAUAAGCCGGACAAUAUCAAAACCACAGUAAUCUGGAUGCAACUAACCCGUCUGCGAGUGCUAGUG